UACGGAGGGCGCAAGCGUUAUCCGGAAUCAUUGGGUUUAAAGGGUGCGCAGGCGGAGCAGUAAGUCAGUGGUGAAAGCCUACGGCUUAACCGUGGAUUUGCCAUUGAUACUGCUGCUCUUGAGUACGGCCGGAGUGGGCGGAAUGCGUCAUGUAGCGGUGAAAUGCAUAGAUAUGACGCAGAACACCGAUCGCGAAAGCAGCUCACUAGACCGUAUCUGACGCUCAGGCACGAAAGCGUGGGGAGCGAACAGG
Molecule: ribosomal RNA, 253 nt
Filed under: uncultured bacterium
Lineage: Bacteria
Description: partial 16S ribosomal RNA
Rfam family: Bacterial small subunit ribosomal RNA
Source: RNAcentral